GUGGGGACGACGUCAAGUCAUCAUGCCCCUUAUGUCCAGGGCUGCAAACAUGCUACAAUGGCCGGUACAAAGGGCUGCUAUACCGCGAGGUUGAGCGAAUCCCAAAAAGCCGGUCUCAGUUCGGAUUGGAGUCUGCAACUCGACUCCAUGAAGUCGGAGUCGCUAGUAAUCCCGNNNNNNNNNNUGCUUAAUUCGAGGCAACGCGAAGAACCUUACCUGGAUUGAACUACGCAGGAAAAGCCAUAGAGAUAUGGUGUCCUUCGGGGCCUGUGAUAGGUGGUGCAUGGCUGUCGUCAGCUCGUGUCGUGAGAUGUUGGGUUAAGUCCCGCAACGAGCGCAACCCUUGUCCUAUGUUGCCAGCACGUAAUGGUGGGGACUCGUAGGAGACUGCCGGGGUCAACUCGGAGGAAGGUGGGGACGACGUCAAGUCAUCAUGCCCCUUAUGUCCAGGGCUGCAAACAUGCUACAAUGGCUGGUACAAAGGGCUGCUAUACCGCGAGGUGGAGCGAAUCCCAUAAAGCCAGUCUCAGUUCGGAUUGGAGUCUGCAACUCGACUCCAUGAAGUCGGAGUCGCUAGUAAUCCCGGAUCAGCAACGCCGGGGUGAAUACGUUCCCGGGCCUUGUACACACCGCCCGUCACACCACGAAAGUCGGUAACACCCGAAGCCAGUGGCCUAACCCUUUGGGAAGGAGCUGUCGAAGGUGGGAUUGGCGAUUGGGGUGAAGUCGUAACAAGGUAGCCGUACCGGAAGGUGCGGCUG
RNAcentral lists this ribosomal RNA (761 nucleotides) under Euphorbia esula (leafy spurge). RNAcentral describes it as "bacterial SSU rRNA". The stretch from base 127 to 761 matches the Rfam family "Bacterial small subunit ribosomal RNA", at positions 874 to 1520 of the family's 1533-position model. The record is from RNAcentral. Lineage: Eukaryota; Viridiplantae; Streptophyta; Magnoliopsida; Malpighiales; Euphorbiaceae.